RNAcentral lists this ribosomal RNA (483 nucleotides) under uncultured bacterium. Its description in RNAcentral is "partial 16S ribosomal RNA". It matches the Rfam family "Bacterial small subunit ribosomal RNA", at positions 28 to 507 of the family's 1533-position model. The record is from RNAcentral.
GACGAACGCUGGCGGCGUGCUUAACACAUGCAAGUCGAACGCUGAAGCUCAGCUUUUGUUGGGUGGAUGAGUGGCGAACGGGUGAGUAACACGUGAGUAACCUGCCUCCUUCUUUGGGAUAACGCCCGGAAACGGGUGCUAAUACUGGAUAUUCACUGGUCUUCGCAUGGGGGUUGGUGGAAAGGGUUUUUCUGGUGGGGGAUGGGCUCGCGGCCUAUCAGCUUGUUGGUGGGGUGAUGGCCUACCAAGGCUUUGACGGGUAGCCGGCCUGAGAGGGUGACCGGUCACAUUGGGACUGAGAUACGGCCCAGACUCCUACGGGAGGCAGCAGUGGGGAAUAUUGCACAAUGGGCGCAAGCCUGAUGCAGCGACGCCACGUGAGGGAUGGAGGCCUUCGGGUUGUGAACCUCUUUCGCUCAUGGUCAAGCCGCAACAAUGGUUGUGGUGAGGGUAGUGGGUAAAGAAGCGCCGGCUAACUACGUG